AGGAAUAUUGGACAAUGGGCGAGAGCCUGAUCCAGCCAUGCCGCGUGCAGGAAGACUGCCCUAUGGGUUGUAAACUGCUUUUAUACAGGAAGAAUAAGGGGCACGUGUGCCCUGAUGACGGUACUGUAUGAAUAAGCAUCGGCUAACUCCGCGCCAGCAGCCGCGGUAAUACGGAGGAUGCAAGCGUUAUCCGGAAUCAUUGGGUUUAAAGGGUCCGUAGGCGGGAUGUUAAGUCAGGGGUGAAAGUUUGCAGCUCAACUGUAAAAUUGCCUUUGAUACUGGCGUUCGUGAAUUAUUGUGAAGUGGUUAGAAUGUGUAGUGUAGCGGUGAAAUGCAUAGAUAUUACACAGAAUACCGAUUGCGAAGGCAGAUCACUAACAAUACAUUGACGCUGAUGGACGAAAGCGUGGGGAGCG
This 416-nucleotide ribosomal RNA is filed under the name uncultured bacterium. RNAcentral describes it as "bacterial SSU rRNA". It matches the Rfam family "Bacterial small subunit ribosomal RNA", at positions 357 to 770 of the family's 1533-position model. The record is from RNAcentral.